UCUUAGCUCAGUCGCUAGAGCGUGAGACUCGUAAUCCCAGGGUUGUAGGUUGGAGCACCACGUUGGGCAAAA
Non-coding RNA from Podarcis lilfordi (Lilford's wall lizard), 72 nucleotides. The record is from the annotation of a GenBank genome assembly. NCBI's taxonomy places the organism in Eukaryota, Metazoa, Chordata, Lepidosauria, Squamata, Lacertidae.